Molecule: ribosomal RNA, 1065 nt
Filed under: Hemitrichia clavata
Lineage: Eukaryota; Evosea; Eumycetozoa; Trichiida; Trichiidae
Description: partial 18S ribosomal RNA
Source: RNAcentral
UUGGUUAAAUAUGCCACUUUGACGCUUACCGAGUAAUUUAGUCAAUAUUAAAUAAACUACCAGAGAAAUGAUGAACCUAUUGGCACCAUUAAGAUCUCGAUUAUGUACGUUUUUCGGGCUGAAGACCUUCCCAACAUAAAUAAUCUAUUUUUUGGUUACGAAGCCGAUGACCACUAAGUAUUAUUGAAACGCCUAGCGUACCGGAACGCGGCCGCUGCGAAGUAAGUUUAAAGACGGGAUAGUUGAAAGCUACCAUCCUAUCUCCGGAUGGUACCAAAAAUGCCCAUUGCCCCUUAAUCCCAAGCUAAGGCCUCUCCCUCGGACUCUUUACCGAUGGUGAAGGUUCCUUCCGUCGUCCGCGCGUUUAAUGGGUUAGGACUGUGUCCCUCCAUCACUGUCAUUUAUUGUUACAUCCCGAGAAACUCAGAACGUCAACCUUACUCAUGUUAAAUUUGGGGAAUUGCUCUUUGUUAACCUCCCGUUCAGACCACGGUCGUCGGCGCCAUUAAGGUCGAGGUUAUCGCAUAUAAUUUCAACAACGUCAAUUUUUCGAGCAUCAACCUGAAAUCCGCUCCACCGGACCAGACGGCAGUCCGUCAUGACCCAAGCGGUUCGGAGUGAAAGCCCCUUGAUCACGGAGCACGCGAUCCCUUGGCUCGGAAUGAAACUCUUUUAAUCUCACAAAUUUCGUCCGAAUGCGAACUUAUGAAGUCGUACCUUAUUGUUAUAUCCUGAAACCAAGAUAAAACAACCAAACUCCUGGUUUCAUUACUAAUUAUCCCUGUCAACCCCCGUAAUCAUAAGUCAUCAGUCUCCACUUUAAGAACCUAAAUGACUCCUGAUUGAUUACGCUUUCGUAAACGGUUCCUACAAAAGUAAUUAGUUCUUGCUUUCAAUCCCCUAGCUUCUGCUAAUCUAUGGCAGCAUCAGAAUUGGUAUUUGAUACGGCUGAUCCCUAGCCACCUACAGCGAAAACUGAGGUAGCCGUGGAAUGCUCUUUAGUUUCAAAAACCCAAGACCCCCCUCAUACCAGCGUUCCGACUUUGAAUUUCCUUAACUGCCUUC